This 465-nucleotide ribosomal RNA is filed under the name uncultured bacterium. RNAcentral describes it as "partial 16S ribosomal RNA". It matches the Rfam family "Bacterial small subunit ribosomal RNA", at positions 28 to 507 of the family's 1533-position model. The record is from RNAcentral.
GACGAACGCUGGCGGCGUGCUUAACACAUGCAAGUCGGACGGAAAGGCCCCCUUGUGGGGUACUCGAGUGGCGAACGGGUGAGUAACACGUGAGUAACCUACCCUUGACUUUGGGAUAACUUCAGGAAACUGGGGCUAAUACCGGAUAGGAGCUCCUGCUGCAUGGUGGGGGUUGGAAAGUUUCGGCGGUUGGGGAUGGGCUCGCGGCUUAUCAGCUUGUUGGUGGGGUAGUGGCUCACCAAGGCUUUGACGGGUAGCCGGCCUGAGAGGGUGACCGGCCACAUUGGGACUGAGAUACGGCCCAGACUCCUACGGGAGGCAGCAGUGGGGAAUAUUGCACAAUGGGCGGAAGCCUGAUGCAGCAACGCCGCGUGCGGGAUGACGGCCUUCGGGUUGUAAACCGCUUUCGCCUGUGACGAAGCGUGAGUGACGGUAAUGGGUAAAGAAGCACCGGCUAACUACGUG